Molecule: ribosomal RNA, 253 nt
Filed under: uncultured bacterium
Lineage: Bacteria
Description: partial 16S ribosomal RNA
Rfam family: Bacterial small subunit ribosomal RNA
Source: RNAcentral
UACAGAGGUCUCAAGCGUUGUUCGGAUUCAUUGGGCGUAAAGGGUGCGUAGGCGGCGCGGUAAGUCGGGUGUGAAAUCUCGGGGCUCAACCCCGAAACUGCACUUGAUACUGCGGUGCUCGAGGACUGGAGAGGAGAUUGGAAUUCAUGGUGUAGCAGUGAAAUGCGUAGAUAUCAUGAGGAAGACCAGUGGCGAAGGCGGAUCUCUGGACAGUUCCUGACACUGAGGCACGAAGGCCAGGGGAGCAAACGGG